AUUGAACGUUGGCGGCAGGCUUAACACAUGCAAGUCGAGCGGUAACAGAGAGAAGCUUGCUUCUCUGCUGACGAGCGGCGGACGGGUGAGUAAUGCCUAGGAAUCUGCCUAGUAGUGGGGGAUAACUUGCCGAAAGGUAAGCUAAUACCGCAUACGUCCUACGGGAGAAAGGAGGGGACCUUCGGGCCUUUCGCUAUUAGAUGAGCCUAGGUCGGAUUAGUUAGUUGGUGAGGUAAUGGCUCACCAAGACCGCGAUCCGUAACUGGUCUGAGAGGAUGAGCAGUCACACUGGAACUGAGACACGGUCCAGACUCCUACGGGAGGCAGCAGUGGGGAAUAUUGGACAAUGGGGGGAACCCUGAUCCAGCCAUGCCGCGUGUGUGAAGAAGGUCUUAGGAUUGUAAAGCACUUUAAGUUGGGAGGAAGAGCAGUUAACUAAUAUUUGACUGUUUUGACGUUACCGACAGAAUAAGCACCGGCUAACUUCGUGCCAGCCGCCGCGGUAA
Molecule: ribosomal RNA, 506 nt
Filed under: uncultured bacterium
Lineage: Bacteria
Description: partial 16S ribosomal RNA
Rfam family: Bacterial small subunit ribosomal RNA
Source: RNAcentral